ACACCGGCAGCCCUAGUGGUGGCCGCUUUUAUUGGGCCUAAAGCGUCCGUAGCCGGACAGGCGAGUCUUUGGGUAAAUCCUACGUCUUAAGCGUGGGAAUUCUAAAGAUACUACCUGUCUUGAGGCCGGGAGAGGCUGGAGGUACUCCUGGGGUAGGGGUAAAAUCCUAUAAUCCUGGGGGGACCACCGAUGGCGAAGGCAUCCAGCUGGAACGGGCCUGACGGUGAGGGACGAAACCCAGGGGAGCGAGCCGGAUUAGAUACCCGGGUAGUCCUGGGCGUAAAUGAUGUGGGCUUGGUGUGAGCGCAUCGACGAGGUGCGCUUGUGCCGUAGGGAAGCCGUUAAGCCCACCGCCUGGGGAGUACGGUCGCAAGGCUGAA
This 380-nucleotide ribosomal RNA is filed under the name uncultured archaeon. RNAcentral's name for it is "bacterial SSU rRNA". It matches the Rfam family "Archaeal small subunit ribosomal RNA", at positions 473 to 853 of the family's 1478-position model. The record is from RNAcentral.